GGGACUCUCCAGGGUUCCUGGGACCAGUGCCUGAAGCUAGAUUUCUCCUUGCUGGAAUUGCCUUUCCUCUGAUGCUGCAAUUGCUUGGAGCAAGUGGGGCAAAACAAGAGUCCCUAGGAACUCCAAUCGAGGAUCAGGGCCCCAUUGUGGUCGGCGCUGUACAGACACAGAACAAAAAGACAGUCCUUGUCUGCAAAGUGCUGUCUCCCCAGACAUGGCCCCUCUCGCCUCAUUCCCAGGGGCUGGAGCCAGUUUCCAGCCAAGGAACAAGAAGAGGCAUUAUCACCUUUGGGCGGGCUGGCUGGUCCUCUUCUGGCCCCAGCUCCCCUCCUCUCUGCUCCUUUUCCAAGGCCCCUGCUUUCAAUCAGCCCCUGCGGCCCUUUGAUCUCACAGAAAUCCCUCUGUGUCUAAAGAGUAGCCAGGUAUUCAGCCUGACCCAGCUACAGCUCAGUGCCAGGAAGGGGCUUUUCCCGUUUUCUUGCCUUAAAGAGACACCAUCGCAUAGAAUCUUGCUGAGGCUCCGGUUCAAACAUUAUGAGCCAGCUCUCUCCCACUCCAAAAAAUAAAAUAAAAAAAUCACAGGAUUGGCUUAAAAAU
Trachemys scripta elegans is the source of this 597-nucleotide long non-coding RNA. RefSeq lists it as uncharacterized. The record is from RefSeq and is a predicted model, not a curated record. The transcript has 3 exons. Lineage: Eukaryota; Metazoa; Chordata; Testudines; Emydidae.